AGCCGGCCUUGAAAUACCACCCUUUAAUGUUUGAUGUUCUAACGUGGACCCGUAAUCCGGGUUGCGGACAGUGUCUGGUGGGUAGUUUGACUGGGGCGGUCUCCUCCUAAAGAGUAACGGAGGAGCACGAAGGUUGGCUAAUCCUGGUCGGACAUCAGGAGGUUAGUGCAAUGGCAUAAGCCAGCUUGACUGCGAGCGUGACGGCGCGAGCAGGUGCGAAAGCAGGUCAUAGUGAUCCGGUGGUUCUGAAUGGAAGGGCCAUCGCUCAACGGAUAAAAGGUACUCCGGGGAUAACAGGCUGAUACCGCCCAAGAGUUCAUAUCGACGGCGGUGUUUGGCACCUCGAUGUCGGCUCAUCACAUCCUGGGGCUGAAGUAGGUCCCAAGGGUAUGGCUGUUCGCCAUUUAAAGUGGUACGCGAGCUGGGUUUAGAACGUCGUGAGACAGUUCGGUCCCUAUCUGCCGUGGGCGCUGGAGAACUGAGGGGGGCUGCUCCUAGUACGAGAGGACCGGAGUGGACGCAUCACUGGUGUUCGGGUUGUCAUGCCAAUGGCACUGCCCGGUAGCUAAAUGCGGAAGAGAUAAGUGCUGAAAGCAUCUAAGCACGAAACUUGCCCCGA
Molecule: ribosomal RNA, 619 nt
Filed under: Salmonella enterica subsp. enterica serovar Pomona
Lineage: Bacteria; Pseudomonadati; Pseudomonadota; Gammaproteobacteria; Enterobacterales; Enterobacteriaceae
Description: partial 23S ribosomal RNA
Rfam family: Bacterial large subunit ribosomal RNA
Source: RNAcentral